AGUGAACGCUGGCGGUAGGCCUAACACAUGCAAGUCGAACGGCAGCACAGUAAGAGCUUGCUCUUACGGGUGGCGAGUGGCGGACGGGUGAGGAAUACAUCGGAAUCUACUUUUUCGUGGGGGAUAACGUAGGGAAACUUACGCUAAUACCGCAUACGACCUACGGGUGAAAGCAGGGGAUCUUCGGACCUUGCGCGAUUGAAUGAGCCGAUGUCGGAUUAGCUAGUUGGCGGGGUAAAGGCCCACCAAGGCGACGAUCCGUAGCUGGUCUGAGAGGAUGAUCAGCCACACUGGAACUGAGACACGGUCCAGACUCCUACGGGAGGCAGCAGUGGGGAAUAUUGGACAAUGGGCGCAAGCCUGAUCCAGCCAUACCGCGUGGGUGAAGAAGGCCUUCGGGUUGUAAAGCCCUUUUGUUGGGAAAGAAAAGCAGCAGGUUAAUACCCCGCUGUUCUGACGGUACCCAAAGACUAAGCACCGGCUAACUUCGUG
RNAcentral lists this ribosomal RNA (492 nucleotides) under uncultured bacterium. Its description in RNAcentral is "partial 16S ribosomal RNA". It matches the Rfam family "Bacterial small subunit ribosomal RNA", at positions 29 to 507 of the family's 1533-position model. The record is from RNAcentral.